This 689-nucleotide non-coding RNA is filed under the name Pongo abelii (Sumatran orangutan). The record is from RNAcentral. Lineage: Eukaryota; Metazoa; Chordata; Mammalia; Primates; Hominidae.
AGAUAACUGCAUAUAGGGGCAACCUCUUAUAAAGUCAAGUCCACUAAUUUAUACAAAAUACACGUGGACCAGUGCUGUAUGGCUUCCUGAUGACUCAGCAGCCUCCAAAGGAGAUCUGCCCGUCAGAAGUAAUUAUUGCCUGGCCUGUGAAGCACUUCUGCUUCUAGCCUAAUGAAAGCUUUAAUCAGAUGGCUUUUCAAAGUGGUCCAAAGAGCCCCUCUGCAAUCAGCAAAAGAGACAGAUGGCAAGAGCUACUGCUGGACACAGAAGAGCGAGUGCCAAGCCAACUGUGCACACCUUAUCCUACAGAGAUGGACCACAAUCUACCCACAACAGCCAGACGGUGGAAACUGACUGUCACUGAUUCCUUGCCCAGAACUCAGACCAGCUCUUCCAGUUACUUGUCAGCUUCUCAAUAAGUAUUAAUUAAUGGUUUAUUUUCCUAAUGGGAGUUGGGAAUGUUGCCAUAUACAUCUGUUCAGUGGCAUUAGGCUGACCUAAAUUAGACCUUUCCUGACAGCAGCCCCAGGCUUUUUUUCAAUGGACCAUCAGUUUGGAAGUCAUUUACUCCUGAAGUAUGUCUGUAAGAAAACAAUGUUCUUAGAAGAUAAAGCACUUUGAAUCUACAAAAAGAGAAAGGUAUCUCUGUAGUAGGCUGAAUGAUGUUCCCCAAAGAUACAUCCUAAUCC